AGCAAGGGCAGAAUUCAAAGUGGAAGGAAUUGUGGUGCUUACCAUCUGUAAUCUCUCAGAGGGAAGAAUCAUCUCAUGCUAUGAUUAUAGAGAAGGAUGGUCUUCACCUGGCCUGUGGGCCAGAGAUUAUAGGCAGAGAGAUGGGGCGAAGAGAUGACAUUAUACCGAGGGAGAAUUUCAGUCCAUUCAUCUCUGCACCACGACUGCUGAUGGGACUCUGGCGCAAGAGCCUGCUUGCGGCGAUGCAAGCCUGUUGCAGUGCCUUUUGGGUUUGCCUUCUCAGCAUGGAAUAA
Molecule: long non-coding RNA, 293 nt
Organism: Cyprinus carpio carpio
Lineage: Eukaryota; Metazoa; Chordata; Actinopteri; Cypriniformes; Cyprinidae
Source: Ensembl